Molecule: long non-coding RNA, 388 nt
Organism: Oreochromis niloticus (Nile tilapia)
Lineage: Eukaryota; Metazoa; Chordata; Actinopteri; Cichliformes; Cichlidae
Exons: 4
Source: RefSeq, a predicted model, not a curated record
CAAUCUUUGUCAGUCCCCAUAGACCGCUAUGUUAUAGUGUUAAAUGCUAAAUUAAUUCAGACACCUGUUUGUUGGUGUACACCUGUCCAGGCUGCACUCACUCUCAAAGUGGACCUCUCCAGCAGAGUUCAGAAGAGAAACCGAAGGAGCCAAGGCAGUCAUGAAAUGUGAACAUCUGUGUCGACAAGUGUUACAUGUAUGCGCUGCAUUGAAGAGCUCAACUUCCUGUAGAUACAAGAGGUAGCGAUACACUGGGAUCUGACAGUAAGAGAUAACCUGCCAUCAGCGGGCCGUCUAUUUUUAACAGCAGUUGUCAUUUGAGGAGGUGGAGCUGAGAGUCAUUUUCAGGCAUUCACGAGCAGAUUGUUGGAAGCUCCUUGGGAAAAAG